RNAcentral lists this ribosomal RNA (541 nucleotides) under uncultured bacterium. Its description in RNAcentral is "bacterial SSU rRNA". It matches the Rfam family "Bacterial small subunit ribosomal RNA", at positions 777 to 1315 of the family's 1533-position model. The record is from RNAcentral.
AAUAGAUACCCCCGGUAGUCCACCCCCGUAAACGUUGGGAACUAGUUGUGGGGUCCUUUCCACGGAUUCCGUGACGCAGCUAACGCAUUAAGUUCCCCGCCUGGGGAGUACGGCCGCAAGGCUAAAAACUCAAAGGAAUUGACGGGGACCCGCACAAGCUGCGGAGCAUGCGGAUUAAUUCGAUGCAACGCGAAGAACCUUACCAAGGCUUGACAUACACCAGAACACCCUAGAAAUAGGGGACUCUUUGGACACUGGUGAACAGGUGGUGCAUGGUUGUCGUCAGCUCGUGUCGUGAGAUGUUGGGUUAAGUCCCGCAACGAGCGCAACCCUCGUUCUAUGUUGCCAGCACGUAAUGGUGGGAACUCAUGGGAUACUGCCGGGGUCAACUCGGAGGAAGGUGGGGAUGACGUCAAAUCAUCAUGCCCCUUAUGUCUUGGGCUUCACGCAUGCUACAAUGGCCGGUACAAAGGGCUGCAAUACCGUGAGGUGGAGCGAAUCCCAAAAGCCGGUCCAGUUCGGAUUGAGGUCUGCAACUCGA